CUGUUUCUACUGACAAUAGGCAUUUUUGCUUACUAUUGACAGUUUGCAUAUGUGUUUCCACAUGUGCUUUCCUGAUUUUUCAGAUUAAUUCUAUCAAUGGCUCAAAAUCCUGCUGUGGUUCUCCUGAACUAUUCUGUUUUCCCUGAGGACUCUGGUUCCUUCCUGUAUGGUCUGCUGUCUUUUGCUGUUUUACCUCGUUGCAUUGUAUGUCUGAAAGCUCCUGAAGAAACU
This is a long non-coding RNA of Rana temporaria (common frog), 231 nucleotides long. RefSeq lists it as uncharacterized. The record is from RefSeq and is a predicted model, not a curated record. NCBI's taxonomy places the organism in Eukaryota, Metazoa, Chordata, Amphibia, Anura, Ranidae. The transcript has 3 exons.